AUUCAAACUCAGAGAGAAAGCGCCUGUUCAUUGAUUCCCCAAUCGCUCUUCGGUGUCUUGAGUCUUUUGACGGAAAGUGCUCGACAUCGCCGGCCGAAAUACGACAAUGGCGACCACUUCGGAUGUUUCUAAUCGGCUACGACUACACAGUUAGCAGAAUUGAAUUGGAAUGCUAAAGACAAUGCCACUUGGUCAGAACAAAUUGGUAUCAGAGCCAAAGGUGAAGGAGAUCCAAGAAACACAAUAAGUCUAAACAUGUGUUGCAACGGGCUUCAAUUUUAGGUGGAGUCAAUCAGCUUGGUUACAUGGGAUGGAGCUCGAGUAGUCAAGGUGGAGCCUUGGAGGUUUGACUGAUCGAGCAGCGUAGAGUGUGGAUAAUCGGAGUUUUCCAGGAGGUUUGUCAAGAUUGAAGCUACAAAAGAAUUGUCCUCAUCAAUGCCGUGGAAACAAUGAUCGACUAGAUGUAAUUUGAGACAAGGUGGUGAUUAUUGGAAUUUGUGUCUCAAAUUCCUAUUCUAAUUAUGUUUCUAUUUUAGAGUUGUAUUCUGUUUGUUAAUUUCUUGUUUGGCAAGUCUUGGCCUCUAAGAAAUUGUAAUCCUUGUCCAAAAAGGAAUUGAGUUUGGAACUCUAUAAAUAAAUACGUAGGCUUUGGGUUGAGAA
Molecule: long non-coding RNA, 660 nt
Organism: Cornus florida
Lineage: Eukaryota; Viridiplantae; Streptophyta; Magnoliopsida; Cornales; Cornaceae
Exons: 3
Source: RefSeq, a predicted model, not a curated record